This 601-nucleotide ribosomal RNA is filed under the name Paenibacillus sp. Its description in RNAcentral is "bacterial SSU rRNA". It matches the Rfam family "Bacterial small subunit ribosomal RNA", at positions 92 to 680 of the family's 1533-position model. Lineage: Bacteria; Bacillati; Bacillota; Bacilli; Caryophanales; Paenibacillaceae. The record is from RNAcentral.
UUAGCGGCGGACGGGUGAGUAACACGUAGGUAACCUGCCUAUCAGAUCGGGAUAACUAUCGGAAACGAUAGCUAAGACCGGAUAACUGGUUUUCUCGCAUGAGAGAAUUAUGAAACACGGAGCAAUCUGUGGCUGAUAGAUGGGCCUGCGGCGCAUUAGCUAGUUGGUGGGGUAACGGCUCACCAAGGCGACGAUGCGUAGCCGACCUGAGAGGGUGAACGGCCACACUGGGACUGAGACACGGCCCAGACUCCUACGGGAGGCAGCAGUAGGGAAUCUUCCGCAAUGGACGCAAGUCUGACGGAGCAACGCCGCGUGAGUGAUGAAGGUUUUCGGAUCGUAAAGCUCUGUUGCCCUAGACGAACAGCAUGAGGAGUAACUGCCUUGUGUGUGACGGUAUAGGAGAAGAAAGCCCCGGCUAACUACGUGCCAGCAGCCGCGGUAAUACGUAGGGGGCAAGCGUUGUCCGGAAUUAUUGGGCGUAAAGCGCGCGCAGGCGGUUAAUUAAGUUGGGUGUUUAAGCCCGGGGCUCAACCCCGGUUCGCAUCCAAAACUGGUUGACUUGAGUGUAGGAGAGGAAAGUGGAAUUCCACGUGUAGCG